RNAcentral lists this ribosomal RNA (512 nucleotides) under uncultured bacterium. RNAcentral describes it as "partial 16S ribosomal RNA". It matches the Rfam family "Bacterial small subunit ribosomal RNA", at positions 28 to 507 of the family's 1533-position model. The record is from RNAcentral.
GACGAACGCUGGCGGCGUGCCUAAUACAUGCAAGUCGAGCGAGCGGAACUAACAGAUUUACCUCGGUAAUGACGUUAGGAAAGCGAGCGGCGGAUGGGUGAGUAACACGUGGGGAACCUGCCCCAUAGUCUGGGAUACCACUUGGAAACAGGUGCUAAUACCGGAUAAGAAAGCAGAUCGCAUGAUCAGCUUUUAAAAGGCGGCGUAAGCUGUCGCUAUGGGAUGGCCCCGCGGUGCAUUAGCUAGUUGGUAAGGUAAAGGCUUACCAAGGCGAUGAUGCAUAGCCGAGUUCAGGGCCAGAUCGGCCACAUUGGUAGUGAGACACGGCCGACACUCCUACGGGAGGCAGCAGUAGGGAAUCUUACACGAGGGAGGAAAGUCUGAUGGAGCACCGCCGCGUGAGUGAAGAAGGUGUUCGGACCGUAAAGCUCUGUUGUUGGUGAAGAAGGAUAGAGGUAGUAACUGGGCAUUAUUUGACGGUAAUAAAACAGGAAGCCACGGCUAACUACGUG